GUGAAUCAUCGAAUUUUUGAGCGCAAAUUGCACUAUCCUCGGAGAGUAUGCCUGUUUGAGGGUCAGCCUAUAAAAAAUCGACAUCGUGGCUGUUUCGCGGGGGCGGUCGUCGGAAAUUGGGGCAUCUUAAAUCUUGUGGUUGUAAGCGACUUAGAAUGUGCUGUUUGGUUCCAUGAAGGUGUCUAAGAUUUAUUUCAG
RNAcentral lists this unclassified non-coding RNA (198 nucleotides) under Glomus sp. RNAcentral's name for it is "partial contains 5.8S ribosomal RNA and internal transcribed spacer 2". The record is from RNAcentral. Lineage: Eukaryota; Fungi; Glomeromycota; Glomeromycetes; Glomerales; Glomeraceae.